UCGGGAAUUUUGGGCAAUGGGCGAAAGCCUGACCCAGCAACGCCGCGUGAAGGAUGAAGUAUUUCGGUAUGUAAACUUCGAAAGAAUAGGAAGAAUAAAUGACGGUACUAUUUAUAAGGUCCGGCUAACUACGUGCCAGCAGCCGCGGUAAUACGUAGGGACCAAGCGUUGUUCGGAUUUACUGGGCGUAAAGGGCGCGUAGGCGGCAAUUCAAGUCAUCUGUGAAAUCUCCGGGCUUAACUCGGAACGGUCAGAUGAUACUGCUUUGCUAGAGUGCAGAAGGGGCAAUCGGAAUUCUUGGUGUAGCGGUGAAAUGCGUAGAUAUCAAGAGGAACACCUGAGGUGAAGACGGGUUGCCGGGCUGACACUGACGCUGAGGCGCGAAAGCCAGGGGAGCAAACGGGAUUAGAUACCCAAGUAGUCCCUGAGCGGGCUGGCAAGGCGCAU
RNAcentral lists this ribosomal RNA (447 nucleotides) under uncultured bacterium. RNAcentral's name for it is "bacterial SSU rRNA". It matches the Rfam family "Bacterial small subunit ribosomal RNA", at positions 355 to 825 of the family's 1533-position model. The record is from RNAcentral.